This 190-nucleotide non-coding RNA is filed under the name Candidatus Hydrogenedentota bacterium. Its description in RNAcentral is "6S RNA". It matches the Rfam family "6S / SsrS RNA". Rfam says of the family: E. coli 6S RNA was the first non coding RNA to be sequenced, but its function was unknown until recently. It consists of 184 nucleotides that fold into an extended hairpin structure with a large single-stranded internal bulge. The 6S RNA specifically associates with RNA polymerase holoenzyme containing the sigma70 specificity factor. The record is from RNAcentral. RNAcentral also lists the same sequence under 1 other name. Lineage: Bacteria; Pseudomonadati; Candidatus Hydrogenedentota.
UCCGCCCUGCGAUGUUCGAUAUGGCGAAAAAGCGCGUGGCCUUUCACAGUGAACUGGGAGUUCGAUAUUUGUGCAGCCUACGGCACACCUCCCUUGAGAGGGAGCCGGAUGACUGUCGUGAGAACACCCCCCUAUUGAGGGAAAGGUUCACCCUGCUUUUCAACAGCCAGUCGGCAUGCGCGGGGUUUUU